This 324-nucleotide ribosomal RNA is filed under the name uncultured eukaryote. RNAcentral's name for it is "partial 18S ribosomal RNA". It matches the Rfam family "Eukaryotic small subunit ribosomal RNA", at positions 1470 to 1796 of the family's 1831-position model. The record is from RNAcentral.
CCCUUAGAUGUUCUGGGCCGCACGCGCGCUACACUGAUGCAUUCAACGAGUUUCUUCCUGGUCCGAGAGGAAUGGGUAACCUUUUGAAAGUGCAUCGUGAUAGGGAUAGACUAUUGCAAUUAUUGGUCUUCAACGAGGAAUUCCUAGUAGACGUAGUUCAUCAGACUGCAUCGAUUACGUCCCUGCCCUUUGUACACACCGCCCGUCGCUCCUACCGAUUGAAUGCUCAGGUGAGCCAUUCGGACUUUCAUCAUGCUGGUUUCCAGUUUUGAUGAAGGAAAGUCUUGCGAACUUUAUCAUUUAGAGGAAGGAGAAGUCGUAACA